RNAcentral lists this ribosomal RNA (254 nucleotides) under uncultured bacterium. RNAcentral describes it as "partial 16S ribosomal RNA". It matches the Rfam family "Bacterial small subunit ribosomal RNA", at positions 524 to 776 of the family's 1533-position model. The record is from RNAcentral.
UACGGGGGGAGCAAGCGUUGUUCGGAUUUACUGGGCGUAAAGGGCGCGUAGGCGGUCAGCACAAGUCAGUUGUGAAAUCUCCGGGCUUAACCCGGAAAGGUCAAUCGAUACUGCAGGGCUAGAGUGCAGAAGGGGCAACUGGAAUUCUCGGUGUAGCGGUGAAAUGCGUAGAUAUCGAGAGGAACACCUGCGGCGAAGGCGGGUUGCUGGGCUGACACUGACGCUGAAGCGCGAAAGCUAGGGGAGCGAACGGG